Molecule: long non-coding RNA, 611 nt
Filed under: Lucilia cuprina (Australian sheep blowfly)
Lineage: Eukaryota; Metazoa; Arthropoda; Insecta; Diptera; Calliphoridae
Description: uncharacterized LOC124421316, transcript variant X1
Source: RNAcentral
UAUAUACAUAUUUUAAUUGAUCAAAAGUAUUUUUUUAAUGUAAAUCAUGAAAAUCAAUUUUUUGAAUUUUUUCCACGUGCAUUAACACAUAUUGGAAAUGUAAAUAAUGAAAACGAGUUGUUGCGUCUUUUUUACGUGCAGAAACACAUAUUUGUAAACAAAAAUAUCUCACCACACCAAAAAAAAUAUUUAUUUUGAUAAAACAUUUGUUACGGUUUGUUUUAUUUUUCGUCGGGUUGUUUUCUUUAUGUGCAUUGCCAGAGUGACGUUUUGAAUGUAUACUUUAAUUCCCACAUGCCCAAAAUUUAUCCACAUAAAACAAAUAUAUAUUACAACCAAGUAAGGAAAUUUCCAUACAUCUGGAAAAUAGCAGUUAUUGAGACAAUUAUUAAAAAUGAUGACCAGCAGCUGUAUUACACGAUCAGGAAACCUUCUAAUUAAGAAAUUGGACACACCAUCAAAGCCAGAAGAUUUUUUAUUGUUCAGCCCAUAAAUCACGAAGGUGAAGGGUAUAAUAAACAAAAAAAUCAAAAACAUCAUUGAAUUUAAAAAUAUUUUUUGACAUACCGACCAAAUUCUAUAAUAUUUUAAUUUUGAAAUGUAUUAAUACU